Molecule: ribosomal RNA, 360 nt
Filed under: uncultured bacterium
Lineage: Bacteria
Description: partial 16S ribosomal RNA
Rfam family: Bacterial small subunit ribosomal RNA
Source: RNAcentral
CCUACGGGAGGCAGCAGUGAGGAAUAUUGGUCAAUGGCCGGAAGGCUGAACCAGCCAAGCCGCGUGAGGGAGGAAGGCGCAGAGCGUCGCAGACCUCUUUUGUCGGGGGACAAAAGGCCGGACUCGUCCGGUCCUGAGGGUACCCGGAGAAAAAGCAUCGGCUAACUCCGUGCCAGCAGCCGCGGUAAUACGGAGGAUGCGAGCGUUAUCCGGAUUCAUUGGGUUUAAAGGGUGCGCAGGCGGGCCUUCAGGCCGGCGGUGAAAUCGCGGGGCUCAACUCCGCCGAGCCGUCGGAACUGGGGGCUUUGAGGGCGGCGGAGGCAUGCGGAAUGCGCGGUGUAGCGGUGAAAUGCAUAGAGA